Molecule: long non-coding RNA, 1537 nt
Organism: Onychomys torridus (southern grasshopper mouse)
Lineage: Eukaryota; Metazoa; Chordata; Mammalia; Rodentia; Cricetidae
Exons: 2
Source: RefSeq, a predicted model, not a curated record
GCGCACGACGUCUGCCUGCUCUCAUUCCCAAGGCGCUAAAGAGUGCGAACCUAGCUAGGGGAAAACUAUUUGGUGCGGAAAUUCGUGUCUCUUUCCGCCCACCGUUGGGGGCCGCACCGGCCGGGUCCCGAGCGAUGCCCUGGCGUGGAGUUUGGGGGCGCAACGGGGCCCGGCGGGGGCGGCGAGCGCGCGUUCCCCCGCCCGCUCGGGCGGCGUCGAGGCGCGAGCAGCUCAGCCAGCCUUGCAGAGGGAGAGGGAGCUCUUGGCAGUUCAGGGGUCCCUCUGCUCGCAGCCACAGCAGCGCCGCCUGCGCCACUCGGCGGUGACGGCGACCAGCGGCGGCGAUGAGCGGACUCGGAGACGCUACGGAGCACCCCAGCUGCUGGAGAAGCGCUCAGGGCGGCCGGCUUUGAAUACAUGAGAAAGAAGAGUGAGAAACAAGAAGAAAAGUAAGGUUGGAAGAGGGCCAGAGGAAAGAGGGAUGGAAGGAAGCUCCUGCAGCCACCAACACAAUAAAGUGUAUCCUGAACCGCCUCUGCCUGGCCCCUGUUUUGCAGCAUGCACCUGUCAGUUUCCUCUGCAGAGUUCUGAAGAUGAUGAGCAAGACGUGGCUGUGACCUAGGUGGUCUUAAAUGAUGAGACCCAUCAGCACGUUACAGGCCUUGAAAGCCCAUUUCCACUUGCCCCCUCUAGGCACACACUUUCCUUGCCCUGAUACCUGUGACUCUUGAUAAUAUCACCAAUCUCCCCCCAACCUGGGGCAGCAGGCACCCAACUGUCCUGAAUCUGAGCCGGAAGAACAAAUGUCCUCCCAGCCUGCAGGAGGCAGGGUAGGAAGUAAGAGCUCUGAGGCAGCUGUGCCCUAUGUAUGCCUCCCACCAUCUGACAGACCAAGACCUGCUGUUGGGCUAAGAGACCAGCCAGCCUGACCUCAGGUUGUGAAUUGAGAGGUCAAGUGGUUGUCCUGUGGUCGAUCCAUGCUGCUUCAAGCCCAGAAGACUGGAGGGGCAAAGGCCUGAGGGGCCUUCCCUGGCCUUGACAGUUUUCACUUAGCUGUGCUCCCAGAGGGGUCUUGUUCCUUCUGUUUUGGAGAACAGGGAUAUUCAGUGACGUCAGAGUUGACCUCUGACUGGAAUAAUGACAUGUUCCCAUCCUGUAUUUCUUGCCAGGCGGUGUCCUAUGGUUUGUGCUAUGAGGCGGUGGUCACUGUCUUCACUUCCCUAAGCCCUGCUCAGCCGAGGUUUGACCCCACUUUUCCCCACCACUCUGAACAGUCCUACCCUACCGGUGGGCUUCUUCUGUGGCUUCAGGCCUGCAGGAAUUCUGCUGGUUCUGGGACUUGUCUCCAAACUAUGACCAGCUAUAGGCAGUGGUAUGGUCUUUCACCUGAUUGUUUUAUCUACUCCAUUAUACCCCAGCUGACCAACCAAAAAGCUGAACUGCUCCAUCCUGCCCAGCUAUGCCAGUGUGUAAGGGCUGUCUGCCCGCCCUACCCCCUGCCCCCACCAGACUAUAGUGAACUGCCAGCAUCCACUCA